UGGGUUAAGUCCCGCAACGAGCGCAACCCUUAUCCUUGUUGCCAGCGGUCCGGCCCGGGGAAACUCAAAGGAGACUGCCAGUGAUAAACUGGAGGAAGGUGGGGAUGACGUCAAGUCAUCAUGGCCCUUACGACCAGGGCUACACACGUGCUACAAUGACGCAUACAAAGAGAAGCGACCUCGCGAGAGCAAGCGGACCUCAUAAAGUGCGUCGUAGUCCGGAUUGGAGUCUGCAACUCGACUCCAUGAAGUCGGAAUCGCUAGUAAUCGUGGAUCAGAAUGCCACGGUGAAUACGUUCCCGGGCCUU
Molecule: ribosomal RNA, 308 nt
Filed under: uncultured Enterobacteriaceae bacterium
Lineage: Bacteria; Pseudomonadati; Pseudomonadota; Gammaproteobacteria; Enterobacterales; Enterobacteriaceae
Description: bacterial SSU rRNA
Rfam family: Bacterial small subunit ribosomal RNA
Source: RNAcentral